This is a long non-coding RNA of Homo sapiens (human), 330 nucleotides long. NCBI's taxonomy places the organism in Eukaryota, Metazoa, Chordata, Mammalia, Primates, Hominidae. The record is from Ensembl.
UACCUACAGCAUUGUACAAUAACAACUAGAAAAGGCAGUAUACUUCACUGAAGCUUGUCUGGUAACAUCACUUCUGUGUUAUAAUGGAAGGUUUUUUGUGAUGUAUGAAACUUGUGUUUUUUAUAUAUAAAUGAGUAUAUUUAGUGUUGUGGUAAUGCCUGUUUUUAUCUGUAAAUAGUUAAGUAUGUACACGAAGCAGUACUUCUGAUUUAUUGCAGUGUUCAAUCCUAGCUUUUAUUUUUAUUCUUAAAACAUUGUUUUGCUUUCGAUUUUAUGUACCUUAGUUCUGAGUUAGACCUGCAGAUGCGUACAGAUAGUUCAUAUUUAUGU